This 161-nucleotide small nuclear RNA is filed under the name Sorex araneus (European shrew). RNAcentral's name for it is "U4 spliceosomal RNA (ENSSARG00000018329.1)". The stretch from base 1 to 72 matches the Rfam family "U4 spliceosomal RNA". Lineage: Eukaryota; Metazoa; Chordata; Mammalia; Eulipotyphla; Soricidae. The record is from RNAcentral.
AGCUUUGUGCAGUGGCAGUAUCGUAGCCAAUGAGGUUUGUCCGAGGCGCGAUUAUUGCUAAUUGAAACUAUGGUCUCUUUCUCUUCAAGCCUUUGCACAUGGUAUUCCCUUAGUACUGUGUGUUCUUCUCACCCAAUACUUAGCUCAUUACUUAAUAAAGU